Molecule: ribosomal RNA, 497 nt
Filed under: uncultured bacterium
Lineage: Bacteria
Description: partial 16S ribosomal RNA
Rfam family: Bacterial small subunit ribosomal RNA
Source: RNAcentral
GAUGAACGCUGGCGGCGUGCCUAAUGCAUGCAAGUCGAGCGAACAGACGAGGAGCUUGCUCCUCUGACGUUAGCGGCGGACGGGUGAGUAACACGUGGAUAACCUACCUAUAAGACUGGGAUAACUUCGGGAAACCGGAGCUAAUACCGGAUAAUAUAUUGAACCGCAUGGUUCAAUAGUGAAAGACGGUUUUGCUGUCACUUAUAGAUGGAUCCGCGCCGCAUUAGCUAGUUGGUAAGGUAACGGCUUACCAAGGCAACGAUGCGUAGCCGACCUGAGAGGGUGAUCGGCCACACUGGAACUGAGACACGGUCCAGACUCCUACGGGAGGCAGCAGUAGGGAAUCUUCCGCAAUGGGCGAAAGCCUGACGGAGCAACGCCGCGUGAGUGAUGAAGGUCUUCGGAUCGUAAAACUCUGUUAUUAGGGAAGAACAAAUGCGUAAGUAACUAUGCACGUCUUGACGGUACCUAAUCAGAAAGCCACGGCUAACUACGUG